RNAcentral lists this ribosomal RNA (490 nucleotides) under uncultured Bacteroidales bacterium. RNAcentral's name for it is "bacterial SSU rRNA". It matches the Rfam family "Bacterial small subunit ribosomal RNA", at positions 68 to 548 of the family's 1533-position model. The record is from RNAcentral. Lineage: Bacteria; Pseudomonadati; Bacteroidota; Bacteroidia; Bacteroidales.
GGCAGCAUGACGAUAGCUUGCUAUUGUUGAUGGCGACCGGCGCACGGGUGAGUAACGCGUAUCCAACCUGCCCUUGUCCAUCGGAUAACCCGUCGAAAGGCGGCCUAACACGAUAUGCAGUCCACAGAAGGCAUCUGACGCGGACGAAAUGUGAAGGAGAAGGAUGGGGAUGCGUCUGAUUAGCUUGUUGGCGGGGUAACGGCCCACCAAGGCGACGAUCAGUAGGGGUUCUGAGAGGAAGGUCCCCCACAUUGGAACUGAGACACGGUCCAAACUCCUACGGGAGGCAGCAGUGAGGAAUAUCGGUCAAUGGGCGAGAGCCUGAACCAGCCAAGUAGCGUGCAGGAAGACGGCCCUAUGGGUUGUAAACUGCUUUUAUGCGGGGAUAAAGUGAGCCCACGUGUGGCUUAUUGCAGGUACCGCAUGAAUAAGGACCGGCUAAUUCCGUGCCAGCAGCCGCGGUAAUACGGAAGGUCCGGGCGUAAUCCGG